GUAAUAGUUACUGGAGGACGGGUGAAUGAAGAGGACAGUGUUUCUUGAGGAGGGAUUUGAGGACAACAGAAGGAGAGUGAAUUACCCUGUUUGCAUUGGAGAGGAGCUGAGUAACUGAGAACUGAGUCUUGUAAUUGCACACGUUUGACACUGAAUUGGAUGUGGUUUGGAGUGUUUGGAUCACGAUCAUAAAUAUCACUGAGUGGAUUGUAUUGAUUCAUUACCGAUCUCUUACCUCUCCCUCCUCUAUAAAUGGUGAUGUGAACUCUGCCUGUGACUGUGAAGAAAAACAUCUCAGAACAUCCUCAGUGGCAGUGAGGAUUGCGCCCUCCCCCUUCCCCUCGGACAGAAACCCGAAUGAGAAGAGAUGCCCUGUUGAAAUAUUUACUAUCUGCCUCAGAAAAGCUCUGUGCAACCUGUUGACUUCGAGUCUGCUGUAUCCCUGCCAUUCAACUGUAUGGUGAGAAGUGUUUGUUCCUUCCAAUGCAUGUGAACUGUAUACUUGCCUGAAACAUCCAUUCUGUCUGUCUCAGAAGAAGCCCCAUUCAGCCUGUUGACUUCGAGUCUGCUGUAUCCCUGCCAUUCAACUGUAUGGUGAGAAGUGUUCGUUCCUUCCAACGCAUGUGAACUGUAUACUUUGUCUGAAGCAUCCAUUCUGUCUGUUUCAGUAGAAACCCUGCACAGCCUGUUGACUUAGAGUUUGUUGCAUCCUUGUGGCCCACCUGUGCUGAGAGAGGUGACUGUCCUUUGUCACGAACGUGAGAUGGGCACGCUUUGUCUGGAAAUUCCACUCUGACGGUGUCAAGAGAAGCCACCUUACUGUAAGACCGUGCACCUGCCGUAUACGUACACGACUGAUAUCAUUCACCUCAAAUUCUGUACCUGUGGAAGAAGGAAGGAAGGCUGGAAUUACAUACUUACUGGAGGAGACUUACCGGACCCCUCACUUGCCAAACACAUCCCCACCUCAAGGCUGUGUAUCUGCCGUGUACGGACCUGACCGAUAUCCAUCUGUCCCAAAUUCUGCAUCUGUGAAAAAGGGAAGGAAGUUUGGAAGUAUUUAAUUACCAGAGGAGACUUACCAGACUGCUGGCUUGCCGAUCGUAUUCCCACCUGUGAAAUACCUACUUGACCACCCAUCUAUCCAUCUAUUGCGGGGCCCGCACAGAGGAAGAGGGCGGGAGAGUCCCCGGUCGCUGCAUUGUUUACCUUCAAGCCCUGAGGGUAACAAAGAAGAUUUUAGGUUAGGAUUCCCAAUUUGCUUUUACUUCAAAAUAAAACUUGUUAAAUUUA
Molecule: long non-coding RNA, 1293 nt
Organism: Carassius gibelio (silver crucian carp)
Lineage: Eukaryota; Metazoa; Chordata; Actinopteri; Cypriniformes; Cyprinidae
Exons: 2
Source: RefSeq, a predicted model, not a curated record